This 216-nucleotide ribosomal RNA is filed under the name Glomeromycotina sp. RNAcentral's name for it is "partial small subunit ribosomal RNA". The stretch from base 40 to 216 matches the Rfam family "Eukaryotic small subunit ribosomal RNA", at positions 686 to 864 of the family's 1831-position model. The record is from RNAcentral. Lineage: Eukaryota; Fungi; Glomeromycota.
GGGUCAGUAGGUUGGUCGUGCCACCGGUACGUACUGGUCUCACUGAUUCCUCCUUCCUGAAGAACCGUAAUGCCAUUAAUUUGGUGUUGCGGGGAAACAGGACUGUUACUUUGAAAAAAGUAGAGUGUUUAAAGCAAGCUAACGCUUGAAUACAUUAGCAUGGAAUAAUGAAAUAGGACGAUCGAUCCUAUUUUGUUGGUUUCUAGGAUUGACGUA